CUACGGGGCGCUGCAGUCGCGGAACUUUUACAAUGCACGCAAGUGUGAUAAAGCGAACCAAAGUGUUUUUCGUUUAGAAAAACUUUUUCUUAGUGUAAAAAUCUAGGAGAAUAAGGACUGGGAAAGACUGGUGCCAGCCGCCGCGGUAAUACCAGCAGUUCAAGUUGCAUCCCUUUUUAUUGGGUCUAAAACAUCCGUAGCUUGCCGUUUAAGUCUCUUGUGAAAUCCUACGUCUCAAGCGUGGGGCUUGCAGGGGAUACUGAGCGGCUAGAGAUCGGUAGACGUAAGGAGUACGCCGGGGGUAAUGGUCAAAUAUGUUAAUCCUCGGUGGACUAACAAUGAGCGAAGGCACCUUACGAGGACGAAUCUGACAGUCAGGGAUGAAGGCCAGGGGCGCAAAACGGAUUAGAUACCCCGGUAGUC
RNAcentral lists this ribosomal RNA (423 nucleotides) under uncultured archaeon. RNAcentral's name for it is "partial 16S ribosomal RNA". It matches the Rfam family "Archaeal small subunit ribosomal RNA", at positions 323 to 746 of the family's 1478-position model. The record is from RNAcentral.